UCCCCCCCCCCCCCCCCCAAAGCAUGCAUCACCCCCACCUUUUGCCUUUCUGCAGAGCGGUGCGUUUUCUUUUGCCUCUGCAACGGGAAGAAGGGAGGGGUAGGAAGCUGUGGGGUACCAACCCUCCCCAAGGGGAAAAAUCUUUCUUGUCACAGAAGCUGAUUCACCCCGUGGCGUCCUCGGCCUGAUAGGAGUUUGGGACAACAGAGUUUGUAGCCCAAGAAGCCAGGGGGAAGGGCUGGUUUUCCAGGGUCUCUUAUCCAAGCAAAGGCCUGGCCAGGAGUUUCUCCACCACAGCACCCCACACCCCAGCCCCAAGGCCGCAGAAGGUGCUUCCAGUGACCCACCGCCCUGUUCCUCCCUGCUCGGCGCAUUCAUGGGCUCCCUGCCCCCCUCCCUCUCCAGCUCUGCCUUGUGCUGUGGACGUGGUCCUGUCUCGUGUCUCCCGACUCCCUCCCUCCGACUCCCUCCCCAGCUUGAGUCGCCUCUGCUGAGCAUCCUCCCCCCCCACCCCACCCCUUCCUCUGCCAUCAGUCAGGAUGAGGCCAAGGGAGGAGGUGACCCAGAGCCCCUGCGGCUGAUGGAGGAGGGCACUGGAUGCUCCGUGCCAUCUCCUGCCAGCCAUGCAUUUUGUACCAGUCUAUAAAUAAAAAUAUAUAAAUAUAAAUAUAUAAAUACAAUAUGUGAAGACAUCUUACCGGUUUUUAUUUUGAAAUGAUUUCUAGGCUUGUUUUGGGGUAUCUGUGCUGCCUGUAAUGUAUUGAUUGACCUGUUUUAUAGGUGCCUUUUUAUUAAAAAAAAUUAAACUUCUGCCAGGA
Molecule: non-coding RNA, 818 nt
Organism: Notechis scutatus (mainland tiger snake)
Lineage: Eukaryota; Metazoa; Chordata; Lepidosauria; Squamata; Elapidae
Source: RefSeq, a predicted model, not a curated record